Molecule: ribosomal RNA, 237 nt
Filed under: uncultured bacterium
Lineage: Bacteria
Description: partial 16S ribosomal RNA
Rfam family: Bacterial small subunit ribosomal RNA
Source: RNAcentral
UGGCGGACGGGUGAGUAACGCGUAAAGAACUUGCCCUUUAGACUGGGAUAACAGAGGGAAACUUCUGAUAAUACUGGAUAAGUUAGUAUAUCGCAUGAUAUGCAAAUGAAAGCUACGGCACUAAAGGAGAGCUUUGCGUCCUAUUAGCUAGUUGGUAAGGUAAGAGCUUACCAAGGCGAUGAUAGGUAGCCGGCCUGAGAGGGUGGACGGCCACAAGGGGACUGAGAUACGGCCCUU